This 486-nucleotide ribosomal RNA is filed under the name uncultured bacterium. Its description in RNAcentral is "partial 16S ribosomal RNA". It matches the Rfam family "Bacterial small subunit ribosomal RNA", at positions 28 to 507 of the family's 1533-position model. The record is from RNAcentral.
GACGAACGCUGGCGGCGUGCUUAACACAUGCAAGUCGAACGGGAUCCAAAGGCUUUUUGUUUUUGGUGAGAGUGGCGAACGGGUGAGUAACACGUGAGUAACCUGCCCCCUUCUUUUGGAUAACCGCAUGAAAGUGUGGCUAAUACAGGAUAUUCCAGGCUGGUCGCAUGAUUGGUUUGGGAAAUGGUUUGGUCUGGUGGGGGAUGGGCUCGCGGCCUAUCAGCUUGUUGGUGGGGUGAUGGCCUACCAAGGCGGUGACGGGUAGCCGGCCUGAGAGGGUGGGCGGGCACACUGGGACUGAGAUACGGCCCAGACUCCUACGGGAGGCAGCAGUGGGGGAUUUUGCACAAUGGGCGCAAGCCUGAUGCAGCGACGCCGCGUGAGGGAUGAAGGCCUUCGGGUUGUAAACCUCUUUCGCUGGGUUGAAAGGCCAUGCUUUGGGUGUGGUUGAUUUGAACUGGUAAAGAAGUACCGGCUAACUACGUG